Molecule: ribosomal RNA, 253 nt
Filed under: uncultured bacterium
Lineage: Bacteria
Description: partial 16S ribosomal RNA
Rfam family: Bacterial small subunit ribosomal RNA
Source: RNAcentral
UACGUAGGGUGCAAGCGUUGUCCGGAAUUAUUGGGCGUAAAGAGCUCGUAGGCGGUCUGUCGCGUCUGCUGUGAAAAUCCAGGGCUCAACCCUGGACCUGCAGUGGGUACGGGCAGACUAGAGUGCGGUAGGGGAGAUCGGAAUUCCUGGUGUAGCGGUGAAAUGCGCAGAUAUCAGGAGGAACACCGAUGGCGAAGGCAGAUCUCUGGGCCGUAACUGACGCUGAGGAGCGAAAGCAUGGGGAGCGAACAGG